CAGAAGCCAUCGUCCGCACAUGC
This 23-nucleotide non-coding RNA is filed under the name Cricetulus griseus (Chinese hamster). Lineage: Eukaryota; Metazoa; Chordata; Mammalia; Rodentia; Cricetidae. The record is from RNAcentral.